Molecule: ribosomal RNA, 229 nt
Filed under: uncultured bacterium
Lineage: Bacteria
Description: partial 16S ribosomal RNA
Rfam family: Bacterial small subunit ribosomal RNA
Source: RNAcentral
UCCGUAGGUGGAUAAUUAAGUCAGAGGUGAAAUCCUGCAGCUCAACUGUAGAAUUGCCUUUGAUACUGGUUAUCUUGAGUCAUUAUGAAGUGGUUAGAAUGUGUAGUGCAGCGGUGAAAUGCAUAGAUAUUACACAGAAUACCGAUUGCGAAGGCAGAUCACUAAUAAUGUACUGACACUGAGGGACGAAAGCGUGGGGAGCGAACAGGAUUAGAUACCCUGGUAGUCC